This is a non-coding RNA of Misgurnus anguillicaudatus (oriental weatherfish), 864 nucleotides long. NCBI's taxonomy places the organism in Eukaryota, Metazoa, Chordata, Actinopteri, Cypriniformes, Cobitidae. The record is from RefSeq and is a predicted model, not a curated record.
CACAGAUAAAGAUGAAAAUAAUGAAAACAAUGACACAAUCGACAUUUCCAUUCCUCUUGAUCAGAAAGAUGAUGUGACUUAUUCACAGGUGAUCACUUCCAGUAAAACACAAGCUAUAAAAAACAAUGUUCCUUCUGCUGAUAAUGUGACUUAUGCUGCCAUAAGAUGAGAAAAAGUUGAAGUCCAAGACAACAGCAGCGUGCUUCAUGCUUCUCUUAACAAAACCCCUCACAAAUAAAUAAAAAGAUAUCAAACUUAAAAAGUUGGGUUUUAGUCAAUGGCAUUGUAAAUAUAAAAAUGUAAGUUGUUUAAACAUACAAAUUUGAGUGGUGAUUUUGUUGUGGUUUAACAGGGCUUGUUUAGUGGUAGCUUGUUGUCUGCUUGCUGAUUAUUUGAAGUGUCUAUAUAGAUAUUUACACCGAUCUGACAAAUGGCAGCCAACGCCGUCUUUAUAACCUGACUUUUGGAUUUAGAAUGAAUGAGUUUGCAGGUGUUUGACAGAUCAGUAAGAGUUAAACGCAUAAGGAAAAAUGAGAAAUGAUAGUCAUAGUUAGACUACAAGAAUGAGAUUAUUGACAUUUCUGUCAGAUCAGACGAUUGGCCUGCAUGCUUACAUAAGACUCUUAGGGGCGGUUUCCCGGACAGGGAUUAGACUAGUCCUAGACUUAAACACUUUUAAGAGCUCUCCAAACUGAAAACAACUUUCACUUACAGAUCUUAAAAUACAUCAGUGCCCUUUGUUUUACUUCAAGAUGCACACAGGUAAUGUUUUUAGUAAGGCAUGUUGUUUAAAACUAGUUAUAUUUCCUAAUUAAACUAAGGCCUAGUCCUGGAUUAAGCUAAUCCUGGUCCGGGAAACCGCCC